Molecule: unclassified non-coding RNA, 360 nt
Filed under: soil metagenome
Description: partial contains 5.8S ribosomal RNA, internal transcribed spacer 2, and large subunit ribosomal RNA
Rfam family: 5.8S ribosomal RNA (bases 1-120)
Source: RNAcentral
GAUGAAGAACGUAGCGAAAUGCGAUAAGUAAUGUGAAUUGCAGAAUUCAGUGAAUCAUCGAAUCUUUGAACGCACCUUGCGCUCCUUGGUAUUCCGAGGAGCAUGCCUGUUUGCGUGUCAUUAAUAUAUCAACCUUCACUUGUUGAAUGGUUUGGAUGUGGGGGUUUGCUGGUCUCUUAAAGGGUUCAGCUCCUCUAAAAUGCAUUAGCAGAACAAUCUGUUCAUUGGUGUGAUAACUAUCUACGCUCUUGAAUAAGAUGCAGUUCAGCUUUCUAACUGUCCUUGGACAAUUUAUCAUUUAUGUGACCUCAAAUCAGGUAGGACUACCCGCUGAACUUAAGCAUAUCAAUAAGCGGAGGA